CAGGAAUAAGAUAUACCAUAUCAUUUUGAUUCGCCCCUAUUUUAGUAAAAAGAACUAAAUCUUAUUUUUAGCUUCAAGUUGAUAUACAUUUUAUUGCAACUGUUAUAUAUUUAAAAAAAAUAAUAAUAUAGCAAUAUUAUGAUGACAUUAUUAUUUCAGAUCUCGGAAACUAGUUGUUAUUCUGUCAGACAAAUUUUUCCAAAGCCGAGAACACGAAUGGCAAUCAAACUUGGCUAUCAGUCAAGAUCCUGCAUCUCGUAAACAACGAAUCAUCCCGAUAAAAUACAAGAAAAUAAACAACCGCAACAUUUUUGAUCAUCUUGGAUGUUGUGAUCUCACUAAAACGAUGAAGGAACAAUGGUUUUGGGAUAAAAUUAUCAACGGCAUUAAGGCUUAAAUAAGCUUGAAAUAACAAAACAGCCAUCCUGUUUUACAUUUUCUACAGACUGUGCAAACAAAAACAUCUCAUAUUGCUCAACUUAAUGUCAUUGCGGAAAUGUACAAUACUGUAAUAAAGUUUA
Styela clava is the source of this 521-nucleotide non-coding RNA. Lineage: Eukaryota; Metazoa; Chordata; Ascidiacea; Stolidobranchia; Styelidae. The record is from RefSeq and is a predicted model, not a curated record.